This 490-nucleotide ribosomal RNA is filed under the name uncultured bacterium. RNAcentral's name for it is "partial 16S ribosomal RNA". It matches the Rfam family "Bacterial small subunit ribosomal RNA", at positions 30 to 507 of the family's 1533-position model. The record is from RNAcentral.
AUUGAACGCUGGCGGCAGGCCUAACACAUGCAAGUCGAACGGUAACAGGAAGCAGCUUGCUGCUUCGCUGACGAGUGGCGGACGGGUGAGUAAUGUCUGGGAAACUGCCUGAUGGAGGGGGAUAACUACUGGAAACGGUAGCUAAUACCGCAUAACGUCGCAAGACCACAGAGGGGGACCUUAGGGCCUCUUGCCAUCGGAUGUGCCCAGAUGGGAUUAGCUAGUAGGUGGGGUAACGGCUCACCUAGGCGACGAUCCCUAGCUGGUCUGAGAGGAUGACCAGCCACACUGGAACUGAGACACGGUCCAGACUCCUACGGGAGGCAGCAGUGGGGAAUAUUGCACAAUGGGCGCAAGCCUGAUGCAGCCAUGCCGCGUGUAUGAAGAAGGCCUUCGGGUUGUAAAGUACUUUCAGCGGGGAGGAAGGGAGUAAAGUUAAUACCUUUGCUAAUUGACGUUACCCGCAGAAGAAGCACCGGCUAACUCCGUG